This 24-nucleotide non-coding RNA is filed under the name Arabidopsis thaliana (thale cress). Lineage: Eukaryota; Viridiplantae; Streptophyta; Magnoliopsida; Brassicales; Brassicaceae. The record is from RNAcentral.
ACUAGAACUGGUCAUAGAAUGUGC